Long non-coding RNA from Syngnathus acus (greater pipefish), 525 nucleotides. RefSeq lists it as uncharacterized. The record is from RefSeq and is a predicted model, not a curated record. The transcript has 2 exons. NCBI's taxonomy places the organism in Eukaryota, Metazoa, Chordata, Actinopteri, Syngnathiformes, Syngnathidae.
GUUCAAUAAGCGCAAUGAUGUAGUCCAGCAUGUCUGCUGCACACUAAAAAUAGUAGAAAAAGAUGCUAGUUUGUACUUUUUUUAUUUUUAUUUUUUAGAAUGUUGCCAAUCGUUGGCAUACUGAUGAGAGUUCACGUUAAAGUAAACCAGUUGAGCCUGCUUUCUUGGCAAGGUCAUUGGGUUAUAAUAAACAACUGUACCUUUAAAGUUGUGCACACUAACAUUGGGGGACUUUUUUGUUUUCCAUAUAAACUCAUGUCAAGUGAAUUGAGGUUUGAUAGUCAAUCUGACAGCUGCUCACUGAGCUGACUUUUUUUGAUGAUGUAACAUCGACCUCCAAAUUUAGUUAGUUUUUUUUCUUCUUCCCCCCCAGAAGAUGUGCUGUUAGUCACAUUUCUGAUGGAUUGCACUUUCCAAGUUCCACUUAGUAUGCUAAACAGUUUCCUUAGAAACUGUUUGGAGUGUUUGUGUAUGAAAGUGUGACAAUAUUGACUUUUCAAAUGACCAAAAUCCUUCCUAAAAAAA